UUUGAUCAUGGCUCAGGAUGAACGCUAGCGACAGGCUUAACACNUGCAAGUCGAGGGGCAGCGGGGAGCAAGCUUGCUUGCUCUGCCGGCGACCGGCGCACGGGUGAGUAACACGUAUGCAACCUGCCCUCCGCAGGGGGAUAACCCGGAGAAAUCCGGACUAAUACCGCGUGGUGCACCUGUGGGGCAUCCCACGGGUGUUAAAAGGAAGUGAUUCCGGCGGAGGAUGGGCAUGCGGCGCAUUAGCUUGUUGGCGGGGUAACGGCCCACCAAGGCGACGAUGCGUAGGGGUUCUGAGAGGAAGGUCCCCCACACUGGUACUGAGACACGGACCAGACUCCUACGGGAGGCAGCAGUGAGGAAUAUUGGUCAAUGGGCGGGAGCCUGAACCAGCCAAGUCGCGUGAGGGAAGACGGUCCUAUGGAUCGUAAACCUCUUUAGGCGGGGAGCAAUGCCGGGCACGCGUGCCCGGAGGGAGAGUACCCGCAGAAUAAGCAUCGGCUAACUCCGUGCCAGCAGCCGCGGUAAUACGGAGGAUGCGAGCGUUAUCCGGAUUUAUUGGGUUUAAAGGGUGCGUAGGCGGNAUUUUUAAGUUCAGCGGUAAAAAUGUCCGGGCNUCAACCCNGGGCCGGCCGUUGAAACUGGGGAUCUUGAGUGGGCGAGAAGUAUGCGGAAUGCGUGGUGUAGCGGUGAAAUGCAUAGAUAUCACGCAGAACUCCGAUUGCGAAGGCAGCAUACCGGCGCCCGACUGACGCUGAGGCACGAAAAGCGUGGGGAUCGAACAGGAUUUAGAUACCCUGGUAGUCCACGCAGUAAACGAUGAAUGCUAGUUGUCCGGUUUCUUUGGGGACUNGGGUUGACACAGCGAAAAGCGUUUAAGCAUUUCCACCUUNGGGGAAGUACGCCCGGCCAACCGNUGAAAACUUCAAAGGAAUUNGACNGGGGGGCCCNCCACAAGCGGAGGAACAUGUGGUUUAAUUCGAUGAUACGCGAGGAACCUUAUCCGGGCUCAAACGUCGGAGGACGUGCGGAGAAAUCCGCAUUUCCCUCGGGACUUCCGACGAGGUGCUGCAUGGUUGUCGUCAGCUCGUGCCGUGAGGUGUCGGCUUAAGUGCCAUAACGAGCGCAACCCCCAUCUACAGUUGCUAACAGGUGAAGCUGAGGACUCUGUGGAGACUGCCGGCGCAAGCUGAGAGGAAGGCGGGGAUGACGUCAAAUCAGCACGGCCCUUACGUCCGGGGCGACACACGUGUUACAAUGGCAGGUACAGCGGGAAGCCACUUGGCGACAAGGAGCGGAACCCGAAAACCUGUCUCAGUUCGGAUUGGAGUCUGCAACCCGACUCCAUGAAGCUGGAUUCGCUAGUAAUCGCGCAUCAGCCACGGCGCGGUGAAUACGUUCCCGGGCCUUGUACACACCGCCCGUCAAACCAUGGAAGCCGGGAGUGCCUGAAGUGCGUGAGCGCAAGCAGCGCCNUAGGGUAAAACCGGUGACUGGGGCUAAGUCGUAAACAAGGUAAC
Molecule: ribosomal RNA, 1520 nt
Filed under: uncultured bacterium
Lineage: Bacteria
Description: bacterial SSU rRNA
Rfam family: Bacterial small subunit ribosomal RNA
Source: RNAcentral